GAUCAUGGCUUAGAUUGAACGCUGGCGGCAGGCCUAACACAUGCAAGUCGAACGGUAACAGAAAGCAGCUUGCUGCUUUGCUGACGAGUGGCGGACGGGUGAGUAAUGUCUGGGAAACUGCCUGAUGGAGGGGGAUAACUACUGAAAACGGUAGCUAAUACCGCAUAACGUCGCAAGACCAAAGAGGGGGGACCUUCGGGCCUCUUGCCAUCGGAUGUGCCCAGAUGGGAUUAG
Molecule: ribosomal RNA, 234 nt
Filed under: uncultured bacterium
Lineage: Bacteria
Description: partial 16S ribosomal RNA
Rfam family: Bacterial small subunit ribosomal RNA
Source: RNAcentral